This 357-nucleotide ribosomal RNA is filed under the name uncultured microorganism. RNAcentral's name for it is "bacterial SSU rRNA". It matches the Rfam family "Bacterial small subunit ribosomal RNA", at positions 9 to 351 of the family's 1533-position model. The record is from RNAcentral.
GAGUUUGAUCCUGGCUCAGGAUGAACGCUGGCGGCGUGCCUAACACAUGCAAGUCGAACGAAGCAAUCGGGAUGAAGUUUUCGGAUGGAUUCCUGGUUGACUGAGUGGCGGACGGGUGAGUAACGCGUGGAUAACCUGCCUCACACUGGGGGAUAACAGUUAGAAAUGGCUGCUAAUACCGCAUAAGCGCACAGUACCGCAUGGUACGGUGUGAAAAACCCAGGUGGUGUGAGAUGGAUCCGCGUCUGAUUAGCCAGUUGGCGGGUAACGGCCACCAAAGCGACGAUCAGUAGCCGACCUGAGAGGGUGACCGGCCACAUUGGGACUGAGACACGGCCCAAACUCCUACGGGAGCAG